This 233-nucleotide ribosomal RNA is filed under the name uncultured bacterium. RNAcentral describes it as "partial 16S ribosomal RNA". It matches the Rfam family "Bacterial small subunit ribosomal RNA", at positions 118 to 348 of the family's 1533-position model. The record is from RNAcentral.
UGAGGAACAUGACCUUCGGCGGGGGAGUAGCCGGCCCAACGGCCGGGUAAUACCGCGUACGACCACAUGGGGACAUCCCUAAGUGGUGAAAGCAGCAAUGCGCCGAUGGAGUGCCUCGCGGCCUAUCAGCUAGUUGGUGAGGUAACGGCUCACCAAGGCGACGACGGGUAGCUGGUCUGAGAGGAUGGCCAGCCACAGUUGGGACUGAGACACGGCCCAGCUCCGUAGGGACG